GACGAACGCUGGCGGCGUGCUUAACACAUGCAAGUCGAACGGAAAGGCCCUGCUUUUGUUGGGUGCUCGAGUGGCGAACGCGUGAGUAACACGUGAGUAACCUGUCCUUGACUUUGGGAUAACUUCAGGAAACUCGGGCUAAUAUCGGAUAUGAUCUCCUGCUCCGUGGUGUUGGUUGGAAAGUUUCGGCGGUUGGGGAUGGACUCGCUGCUUAUCAGCUUCUUGGUGUGGUAGUGACUUACCAAGGCUUUGACGGGUAGGCGGCCUGAGAGGGGGACCGGCCACAAGAGGACUAAGAGACGGCGCAGAAGCCAACGGGAGGCAGUAGGGGAGAGUAUGACACAGUGGGCGGAAGCGAGAGGCAGAAACGCCGCGUGCGGGAUGACGGCCUUUGGGUGGUGAACAGAUGUCGCAGGAGACGAAGAGUGAGUGACGGUAAUGGGUAAAGAAGCAACGGCUAACUACGUG
Molecule: ribosomal RNA, 468 nt
Filed under: uncultured bacterium
Lineage: Bacteria
Description: partial 16S ribosomal RNA
Rfam family: Bacterial small subunit ribosomal RNA
Source: RNAcentral